This 449-nucleotide ribosomal RNA is filed under the name uncultured bacterium. RNAcentral describes it as "bacterial SSU rRNA". It matches the Rfam family "Bacterial small subunit ribosomal RNA", at positions 354 to 796 of the family's 1533-position model. The record is from RNAcentral.
GUGGGGAAUAUUGUCCAAUGGGGGGAACCCUGAGACAGCGAUGCCGCGUGAGUGAUGACGGCCUUCGGGUUGUAAAACUCUGUCGUAAGGGACGAAAACUAUAUGACUAAUAAUCAUAUAAUUGACGGUACCUUGCAAGAAAGCUCCGGCUAACUACGUGCCAGCAGCCGCGGUAAUACGUAGGGAGCGAGCGUUGUCCGGAGUGACUGGGCGUAAAGAGCACGUAGGCGGUCUGAUAUGUCGGAUGUGAAAACCCUGAGCUUAACUUAGGGCCUGCAUCCGAAACUGUUAGACUUGAGUACAGGAGAGGAAAGCGGAAUUCCUAGUGUAGCGGUGAAAUGCGUAGAUAUUAGGAGGAACACCAGUGGCGAAGGCGGCUUUCUGGACUGGAUCUGACGCUGAGGUGCGAGAGCUAGGGGAGCGAACAGGAUUAGAAACCCUAGUAGUCC